This 360-nucleotide ribosomal RNA is filed under the name Triticum aestivum (bread wheat). RNAcentral's name for it is "partial small subunit ribosomal RNA". Lineage: Eukaryota; Viridiplantae; Streptophyta; Magnoliopsida; Poales; Poaceae. The record is from RNAcentral.
AUGGACAAUACUGAAGUCACCGCUGCAAGUGGGAACUCCGCAAAGAGUGGGGUCAUUGUAUGGACCCCUGCCAUGACCAACACGAUGCUAGGGUUUUUGGCCGACCUUGUUGCUAAAGGAAAGAGGACUUCUAGUGGGUUCAGGGAGGCACAUCACAGACAAUGUGCUGCUGUUUUGAAUGAGCAGUUCAAACUAGCUGUCACUGGAGUACAAGUUCGAAACCAUCUCAAGAAGUGGAGGAAGAUUUGGGGAAGGGUGGUCAUCUUGAAGAAUUUAAGUGGAGCUCUAUGGGAUGAAGAUACUUGCACAAUUAGGCUUGCCGAAGAACACUAUGCAGGUCAUUGCAUGGUAAGCUUCUAA